RNAcentral lists this long non-coding RNA (2937 nucleotides) under Pelobates cultripes (western spadefoot toad). The record is from RNAcentral. Lineage: Eukaryota; Metazoa; Chordata; Amphibia; Anura; Pelobatidae.
CAAACUUCUGGAAUAAAAGGGAAUCGUGACAUGUCACACAUGUUGUAUGCUUAAGGGGUUAAUGUAUUAAUUACAAUAUAUUACUGAAACCAACCCUUAGAUAUUGUUUCACAGAAAUCCAUGCACACCUUCUGGUUUCUUAAAGCAGUCUUUUAUUUAGAUACAAAAUACAGUGGUAGCAUUUUGACUGUGAUACUUAGAAACAUAGAAUGUGAUGGCAGAUAAGAACCAUUCGCCCCAUCUAGUAUGCACAAUAUUUUGAAAUAGUUUUAAUUAGUCCCUGGCCUUAUCUUAAGUCUAGGAUAGCCUUAUGCCUAUCCCACGCAUGCUUAAACUCCCUCACUGCAUUAACCUCUACCUCUUAAGCUGGAAGGUUAUUCCAUGCAUCCACUACCCUCUCAGUAAAGUAAUACUUCCUGAUAUUAUUUUUAAACCUUUGACCCUCUAAUUUAAGACUGUCCUCUUGUUGUGGUAGUUUUUCUUCUUUUAAAUAUAGUCUCCUCCUUUACUGUGUUGAUUUCCUUUAUAUAUUUAAAUGUUUCUAUCAUAUCCCCCCUGUCUUGUCUUUCCUCCAAGCUAUACAUGUUAAGAUCCUUUAACCUUUCCUGGUAUGUUUUAUCCUGCAAUCCAUGAACCAGUUUAGUAGCCCUUCUCUGAACGCUCUCUAAAGUAUCAAUAUCAUUCUGUAGAUACGGUCUCCAGUACUGCGUACAAUACUCCAGAGGUCUCACCAGUGUUCUGUACCAUGGCAUGAGCACUUCCCUCUUUCUUUAAAAAAAAAAAAAAAUUCUUUAUUUUUCGUGCAUAGGUUAAUGUUACAAGCUUUCAUGCAUUGCCCCAACAGCAUUAGCAUGUACCGAGGUAAACAAGAUUAAACAGUCGUGGCACAGGGAACAUUUGCACAUUUUUGUUUUAAAAGGUUGUCAAGAGUGCUAGUCAGUGAUGGCACAAUAUGUGAUGAGAAGUCAAGCUAUACUGACUGGCUAUACUUGUAUGUUAACUAGGAGAGACGUGCUUGAGCAGCAGAUUGAUGAGCCUCACCUCUGUCUGGUCCUGUGUAUUAUGUGUAUUAUGUAAAUGGUAAAUGUUUGUGUGACAUGCACAUGCUUGGCUUAUCAGUAGUAUGUUUCUACGUUUGGGUCUGGCCCCUCUUUCCUCUCCACUUCUCAUGUAAUGUGUUAACUUUUGGAUCUGAGCCUAUAAUCUGAAAGAGUGUGGGUUUGAGGGGAAAGGCCUAUGGUUGUAGUGUGGCUAGCUAUACAUGCAAGUCAUAGGACAAACAAACAUUGUUCUUAUCGUAGUGCACAACACAUUAGAGUCACUCAGAGGAGAGAACACUUAAUCCUGGUCAUGUUUUGCGGCUCUCGGUGGUUAGUGCAGGCAGCGGCCGCUCACUUCAGAUGGUCAGUCCGGUUUUAGCCAACACCCACACUAGGUAUGUGCUCGCUAAGGGCUGAUGGCAUCCCUAGGGUUGCAGAGCAAUAGGGGUAGCGUCCUUCACCUUUUUGGCCUCGGGCCGGCUUGAGGACCAGUAUCUCUGAGCCAUGAGCCUGGUGGCCCGAAGAGUCUAAGUCCUGUCUGCCGCGUGUGCGGUGGAGGGUCCUGGUCCUUGGUCGCCAUCUGCGGUGGAUUAUUCUCAGUCUGUGUGGUGAUCAUUGCCGGGUGAGUACUCGUGAGGCCCCCGGUCUGUGUGAAUUGGGCUUGGAUUUGGCAGCGUGUCCGGGUGCGUUUUGCGCCUAUUUGUGAGCCUUCCAUUCCUUGACCAGCGCCCCUCUGGGGGCUCCUCUUUGAGGCUGUUGCUGUGUGCUUGUCUAGCUUAGCCCAGAAUCGGGCAAACAGCUCGUCCAGUUGUUGGAGUGUCCUCUCCAUGGAGUACGUUGUGGUGAUUGAGCUGCGUUUGUCCGCCAUCUUCGGCGCCCCUGGAGCUCGUGGUUGCCGGUAGCAUGUAGCAGGUGCCGGCUGCCCGGUUGAGUUGUGCAUGCCUGGGAGGACUGGGAUAACCCCAUCUCCUACGGCCAGUUGAAGCCGUAGGAGAACGGCCGUCUCUCCUCGGUCUGGUCACUGGUAGGCCGCAAAGCCUCAAGGUGGAUUUGCCCGUGGAGGAGAGACCUGCAAGAGGUAUCCCCGGAACCGCCGACAUGUCAGGAACAGGUUUGGUGUUGCUUUCCAGCCCGGUAAGUAUUUGGCUCUCUAUUUUCAUCAAGUUUAGUGUACCAGCCACAGGAGCUCAUGCAGUACACGUCUGUACAGCUCUGUAGCCAGGCUCCGCCCCCGAACUUCCCUCUUUCUAUUGCUAAUACCUCUCCCUAUACAACCAAGCAUUCUAUUUCCUGCUGCUCUAUUACAUUGUCUGCCUACAUUUAAGUCAUCAGAAAUAAUCACCCCUAAAUCCCUUUCCUCAGAUGUUAAGGUUAGGACUCUGUCAAAUAUUCUGUACCUUGCCCUUUGGUUUUUACGUCCAAGAGGCAUAAUCUUGCACUUAUCCACAUUAAAUGUCAGUGGCCACAACUCUGACCAUAUUUCUAGUUUACCUAAAUCAUUUGCCAUUUGGCUUAUCCCUCCUGGAACAUCAACCCUGUUACAUAUCUUAGUAUCAUCAGCAAAAAGACAUACCUUACCAUCAAGACCUUCUGCAAUAUCACUAAUAAAAAUAUUAAAGAGAAUGGGUCCAAGUACAGAUCCCUGAGGCAGUGGCGGACUAAGGGGUGGGUGGAGGGGGCGGUCCGCCCCGGGUGCCACCUGGUAGGGGGGCGCCUUGACCCUGGUCUUGGGGCUGGAGGGGGCUGUGUGAGCUGUGCCCCAUGGCAGCUGGGGUGUCACACAGCUCACAUGCAGAGACCAGCAAGAUGAACUGGCCGCACAGGAGGAAGAAGGGGGUGAGGCUAUGGCCGUUCAGGGGUGGAGCCUAAUCACGAGUGGGGCUGGGCUUAAUACGGC